Sapajus apella (tufted capuchin) is the source of this 987-nucleotide RNA transcript. It is a transcript of the gene named 60S ribosomal protein L23a pseudogene, with no coding region annotated. The record is from RefSeq and is a predicted model, not a curated record. The transcript has a single exon. NCBI's taxonomy places the organism in Eukaryota, Metazoa, Chordata, Mammalia, Primates, Cebidae.
GGGCAUCUUGGACCCUUUUCACAAGAUGGCGCCGAAAGCGAAGAAGGAAGCUCCUGCCCCUCCUAAAGCCGAAGCCAAAGCGAAGGCUUUAAAGGCCAAGAAGGCAGUGUUGAAAGGUGUCCACAGCCACAAAAAAAAGAAGAUCCGCACGUCACCCACCUUCCGGCGGCCCAAGACACUGCGACUCCGGAGGCAGCCCAAAUAUCCUUGGAAGAGCGCCCCCAGGAGAAACAAACUGGACCACUAUGCUAUCAUCAAGUUUCCGCUGACCACUGAGUCUGCCAUGAAGAAGAUAGAAGACAAUAACACACUUGUGUUCAUUGUGGAUGUUAAAGCCAACAAGCACCAGAUCAAACAGGCUGUGAAGAAGCUCUAUGACAUUGAUGUGGCCAAGGUCAACACCCUGAUUCGGCCUGAUGGAGAGAAGAAGGCAUAUGUUCGACUGGCUCCUGAUUACGAUGCUUUGGAUGUUGCCAACAAAAUUGGGAUCAUCUAAACUGAGUCCAGCUGGCUAAUUCUAAAUAUAUGUAUAUCUUUUCACCAUACACAUGCCUCUCUGUCAAUUUCUGGUUGGGUGGGAGGCCAUACACAGGAACUGUUGUUGUAACUUGCCCACUGCUUGGGCAAGACUCCUGUUCUGCUUAUCCUUUUGAAACUCACCCUGCCACUCACUCCUCCAUCCUUGAUCAUUCCACAGAUCUUUGUGACUAGCGUUAGUGUCCUAGGAAAACCAGAACUCAGAGCUUGUCUCCAUGGUUGAGGGUAACAAAAAGCUUUACAAGAACCCCUUUCAUCCCUCGAAGAGGCUGUGUGUGAAACCAGUGCCCAGAGUUUGAAGCACGUUAGCAUCCAUUUCAGAGGAGUGUGGGUUGGCUGGCUUUCCAGUAGCAUUUUGUCCUCACACACCCAUUCGCUAUGUCCAACCGGUCUGUCUGCUUCCCUCACCCCUUGCCCAAUAAAGGACAAGGACUUCAAAAAAAAAAAAAA